This 296-nucleotide long non-coding RNA is filed under the name Setaria viridis. RNAcentral's name for it is "long non-coding RNA (SVIR_LNC007637)". The record is from RNAcentral. Lineage: Eukaryota; Viridiplantae; Streptophyta; Magnoliopsida; Poales; Poaceae.
GAAAUUCCAAGCCUGAGAACUUGUUUUCUAGUUUGCGGACUUCUUUGUAGUAAGCGUCCAUGUUGUCUUUGUGUCAGUCCCACUCAUCAUUGACUUGGUUUAUGACGACUAGCGAGUCGCCGUAAACCAGUAGUCGUUUGAUGCCGAGGGAAAUUGUGAGGUGAAGGUCGUGUAGCAGUGCUUCGUACUCGGCUUCGUUGUUGGAGGCUUCCCAGAAGAUUUGCAGUACGUACUUGAGUUGAUCUCCCUUUGGGGAUAUGAGAAGUACGCCUGCGCCGGCUCCCUCGAGUUUGAAG